UGUUCACAAGCAGUCAACAAGUUGUGUUCGCACUGCUUGUUCCCAGUUUGUGGUAACAAGUUUGGAACAAGCUGUUAACAACUUGUAACAAGCUUGAUGACAUUAUCAGCCUUGUUACAAGACUGUGCCAACAAGUUUGUUACAGCCAUGAUAUAACAAGGAUGUUACAAGGUUGUCAACACAAGAUUGUAACAAUCUUGUUAUAUCAAGCAUGUAACGGACUUGUCAGAACAACCUUGCAAC
Non-coding RNA from Paramuricea clavata, 243 nucleotides. Lineage: Eukaryota; Metazoa; Cnidaria; Anthozoa; Malacalcyonacea; Plexauridae. The record is from the annotation of a GenBank genome assembly.